GAUGUUAUUCAGAGGUCCUUUCCAACCCUCACCACACUGGGAUUUUGGGUGAUCAGUGACUACUGGGCCUUAGCCUGUUCUAGAUCUUACUGGAGUGCACAGCUUAAAAACCGUGGAGAGUGUCUGCAACAUUUAAAACACUGUUGUCAGGAACCUCUGCUGUGUAAGCAAGAUGCAGCACGUCCCGGAGAUGCCAUCUAGUGGAGUCGGGAAGCCUGUGUGGCUUUGGCUGUGAGAUGUGACAGACAUGCCACUUGCUAUUAAGUGCAACCAGAAGACAUGACGCAUGUCAAAGGAUUUCUUGGUCAUCACUAUCCAUCAGGCAAGUGAACUACA
Molecule: long non-coding RNA, 336 nt
Organism: Pogoniulus pusillus (Red-fronted tinkerbird)
Lineage: Eukaryota; Metazoa; Chordata; Aves; Piciformes; Lybiidae
Exons: 3
Source: RefSeq, a predicted model, not a curated record